This 659-nucleotide long non-coding RNA is filed under the name Fukomys damarensis (Damara mole-rat). RNAcentral's name for it is "lncRNA (ENSFDAG00000024038.1)". Lineage: Eukaryota; Metazoa; Chordata; Mammalia; Rodentia; Bathyergidae. The record is from RNAcentral.
GCGGGGCACAGGGGAAGGAGCGCAGACCGUUUAUAUAUAAACUUCUUGCCACACAUACUGCCCACCCAGAGGAACAGGGAACGCAGGAGUUCAGUGCAGCCUGGUCGGCUGAACCUUUCAAAUGCCGAGUUUUCUAGAAUGUUCUGGAAUUUCGCUCCUUGCCCUUGAGACUCAAUCUGUACUCAUGCCUGGGACCAGUGAUGUGCAGCAAGCCGGACGGCUACUUUCAGCAAGGCACAGGCUGUGACCCCCUGGGAGCAGUGGGCCAUGGGGUAUGAAGGGCUCAGCACGACGCCCAACAUGGAACCAGUGGCCGUUGGACAGAACGUGAGCAGAGUGCACAUUUUCUCUCCGUGGUUUUGUUUUUGUGAAGUCAGAUAUUGGAUUCAAAUCAUCCUUGCCUUUCAACCAUCCACAGAAUUACUAGCCCCAAAGUUUUACUCAAAGAUCUCCUGCCGGACCUCUCGGUGCGUGAGUGGCCUAAUUGGGAAGGGGCACGUGACCCCCCUUUCAUCAGCUGCGGAUGACAGAAAAGCUCCAGCUUCAGCAGUGGCUGAACAACAAGGGCUUUAUAUGCCUUACACAAGACAUCUGGCAGUCGGAUCCAGGGCAGGUACAUAGGCUCCACGUGGGCAGUAGAAAGCCAGUGGGCUCUGCUU